GAUGAACGCUGGCGGCGUGCCUAAUACAUGCAAGUCGAGCGAACAGACGAGGAGCUUGCUCCUCUGACGUUAGCGGCGGACGGGUGAGUAACACGUGGAUAACCUACCUAUAAGACUGGGAUAACUUCGGGAAACCGGAGCUAAUACCGGAUAAUAUAUUGAACCGCAUGGUUCAAUAGUGAAAGACGGUUUUGCUGUCACUUAUAGAUGAAUCCGCGCCGCAUUAGCUAGUUGGUAAGGUAACGGCUUACCAAGGCAACGAUGCGUAGCCGACCUGAGAGGGUGAUCGGCCACACUGGAACUGAGACACGGUCCAGACUCCUACGGGAGGCAGCAGUAGGGAAUCUUCCGCAAUGGGCGAAAGCCUGACGGAGCAACGCCGCGUGAGUGAUGAAGGUCUUCGGAUCGUAAAACUCUGUUAUUAGGGAAGAACAAAUGUGUAAGUAACUAUGCACGUCUUGACGGUACCUAAUCAGAAAGCCACGGCCAACUACGUG
Molecule: ribosomal RNA, 497 nt
Filed under: uncultured bacterium
Lineage: Bacteria
Description: partial 16S ribosomal RNA
Rfam family: Bacterial small subunit ribosomal RNA
Source: RNAcentral